Molecule: ribosomal RNA, 460 nt
Filed under: uncultured bacterium
Lineage: Bacteria
Description: partial 16S ribosomal RNA
Rfam family: Bacterial small subunit ribosomal RNA
Source: RNAcentral
CCUACGGGCGGCAGCAGUGAGGAAUAUUGGUCAAUGGACGAGAGUCUGAACCAGCCAAGUAGCGUGAAGGAUGACUGCCCUAUGGGUUGUAAACUUCUUUUAUAUGGGAAUAAAAUGUUCCUAGUUUGGGAUUUUGUAUGUACCAUAUGAAUAAGGAUCGGCUAACUACGUGCCAGCAGCCGCGGUAAUACGGAGGAUACGAGCGUUAUCCGGAUUUAGUGGGUUUGAAGGGAGCGUAGGUGGAUGGUUAAGUCAGUUGUGAAAGUUUGUGGCUCAACCGUAAAAUUGCAGUUGAAACUGGCAGUCUUGAGUACAGUAGAGGUGGGCGGAAUUCGUGGUGUAGCGGUGAAAUGCGUAGAUAUCACGAAGAACUCCGAUUGCGAAGGCAGCUUACUGGACUGAAACUGACACUGAGGCUCGAAAGUGUGGGUAUCAAACAGGAUUAGAUACCCGAGUAGUC